UUAAGUUCAGCGGGUAUCCCUACCUGAUCCGAGGUCAACCAUAGAAAAUUAGGGUUAAUGGCAAGCUUCCACCAGGACUCCAUAGCGAGAAGAAGUACUACGCUUAGAGCCAGAUGGCACCGCCACUGAUUUUAAGGGCUGCCAGUACAGCAAGCCCCAACACCAAGCUAAGCUUGAGGGGUUAUUAUGACGCUCGAACA
This 200-nucleotide unclassified non-coding RNA is filed under the name Helotiales sp. Its description in RNAcentral is "partial internal transcribed spacer 2". The record is from RNAcentral. Lineage: Eukaryota; Fungi; Ascomycota; Leotiomycetes; Helotiales.